Molecule: transfer RNA, 72 nt
Filed under: Turbinellus floccosus
Lineage: Eukaryota; Fungi; Basidiomycota; Agaricomycetes; Gomphales; Gomphaceae
Also listed under: 1 other name
Description: tRNA-Thr
Rfam family: tRNA
About the family: Transfer RNA (tRNA) molecules are approximately 80 nucleotides in length. Their secondary structure includes four short double-helical elements and three loops (D, anti-codon, and T loops).
Source: RNAcentral
GCCGGAAUAGUUUAAUUGGUAAAACGGUUUCCUUGUAAGAUACAAAAGGGGGUUCAAUUCCUCCUUUCGGCA